RNAcentral lists this ribosomal RNA (253 nucleotides) under uncultured bacterium. RNAcentral describes it as "partial 16S ribosomal RNA". It matches the Rfam family "Bacterial small subunit ribosomal RNA", at positions 524 to 776 of the family's 1533-position model. The record is from RNAcentral.
UACGUAGGGUGCAAGCGUUGUCCGGAUUUAUUGGGCGUAAAGAGCUCGUAGGCGGUUCGUCGCGUCGGCUGUGAAAUCCCGGAGCUCAACUCCGGGUCUGCAGUCGAUACGGGCGGACUCGAGUUCGGCAGGGGAGACUGGAAUUCCUGGUGUAGCGGUGAAAUGCGCAGAUAUCAGGAGGAACACCGGUGGCGAAGGCGGGUCUCUGGGCCGAUACUGACGCUGAGGAGCGAAAGCGUGGGGAGCGAACAGG